AGAGUUUGAUCAUGGCUCAGGAUGAACGCUAGCGGCAAGCCUAACACAUGCAAGUCGAACGGUAACUUUUGGUGCUUGCACCGAAAGACGAGUGGCGAACGGGUGCGUAACGCGUAUGCAAUCUGCCUUUUACUAGGGUAUAGCCCAGAGAAAUUUGGAUUAAUCCCCUAUAAUAUCAUUUAAUCGCAUGAUUUUAUGAUUAAAGCUUCGGCGGUAAAAGAUGAGCAUGCGUCCUAUUAGUUAGUAGGUGAGGUAACGGCUCACCUAGACUCCGAUAGGUAGGGGUCCUGAGAGGGAGAUCCCCCACACUGGUACUGAGACACGGACCAGACUCCUACGGGAGGCAGCAGUGAGGAAUAUUGGACAAUGGACGAAAGUCUGAUCCAGCUAUGCCGCGUGCAGGAUGACGGCCCUAUGGGUUGUAAACUGCUUUUAUACAGGAAGAAAAACUCCGACGUGUCGGAACUUGACGGUACUGUAAGAAUAAGGAUCGGCUAACUCCGUGCCAGCAGCCGCGGUAAUACGGAGGAUCCAAGCGUUAUCCGGAAUCAUUGGGUUUAAAGGGUCCGUAGGCGGUUUUUUAAGUCAGAGGUGAAAUCCUGCAGCUCAACUGUAGAAUUGCCUUUGAUACUGAAAGACUUGAGUUAUUGUGAAGUGGUUAGAAUGUGUGGUGUAGCGGUGAAAUGCAUAGAUAUCACACAGAAUA
RNAcentral lists this ribosomal RNA (706 nucleotides) under uncultured bacterium. RNAcentral describes it as "bacterial SSU rRNA". It matches the Rfam family "Bacterial small subunit ribosomal RNA", at positions 8 to 708 of the family's 1533-position model. The record is from RNAcentral.